CUCAAAGCCAAAUUGAUUGGCCUUGACCUGGGGCCACACCAGGAGCAGGCACCUUCUGGGGCAAGGGUGCCUUUCAGUGCCUGGCUGAAGGCAGUCACCACACGGUCCAGGAAGCCUGAGGAAUGAUAGGUUGAUACGGGAGUCCGCAGAGCUGGGCUCGCUCCAGGCACUCAUCACCCAAGGGCAUCUGCAAACUGAGAGGAGCUUUAGGAAGACGCAGUUCAAUCUCAGGGAAUUCCAAAGAUGCCUGGAAUCCAUCACCUCUCCAUUCCUUGAAUUAUCUAGCAUGCCUGGAGGUCCUAUAGUCACUGUCCACCACUCACCGGGAAGCUUAACCCUGCAUUGAAAACAUCUGUUUCGCAGAAUGAGAAAAGGGAGGAGGCUAGAGCAAUGGCUCAGCAAAAAGUAAAGAGCACUUGCUCUUCUUCCAGAGUA
Molecule: long non-coding RNA, 435 nt
Organism: Alexandromys fortis (reed vole)
Lineage: Eukaryota; Metazoa; Chordata; Mammalia; Rodentia; Cricetidae
Exons: 3
Source: RefSeq, a predicted model, not a curated record